RNAcentral lists this ribosomal RNA (500 nucleotides) under uncultured bacterium. RNAcentral describes it as "partial 16S ribosomal RNA". It matches the Rfam family "Bacterial small subunit ribosomal RNA", at positions 30 to 523 of the family's 1533-position model. The record is from RNAcentral.
AUUGAACGCUGGCGGCAGGCCUAACACAUGCAAGUCGAGCGGUAGAGAGGAGCUUGCUUCUCUUGAGAGCGGCGGACGGGUGAGUAAUGCCUAGGAAUCUGCCUGAUAGUGGGGGAUAACGUCGGGAAACGGACGCUAAUACCGCAUACGUCCUACGGGAGAAAGUGGGGGCUCUUCGGACUGCACGCAUACAAAUGAGCCUAGGUCGGAUUAGCUAGUUGGUGGGGUAAAGGCUCACCAAGGCGACGAUCCGUAACUGGUCUGAGAGGAUGAUCAGUCACACUGGAACUGAGACACGGUCCAGACUCCUACGGGAGGCAGCAGUGGGGAAUAUUGGACAAUGGGCGAAAGCCUGAUCCAGCCAUGCCGCGUGUGUGAAGAAGGUCUUCGGAUUGUAAAGCACUUUAAGUUGGGAGGAAGGGUCGUUACCUAAUACGAGACGAUUUUGACGUUACCGACAGAAUAAGCACCGGCUAACUCUGUGCCAGCCGCCGCAGUAA